Molecule: ribosomal RNA, 428 nt
Filed under: uncultured archaeon
Lineage: Archaea
Description: bacterial SSU rRNA
Rfam family: Archaeal small subunit ribosomal RNA
Source: RNAcentral
UACCAGCUCUCCGAGUGGUAGGGAUGAUUAUUGGGCUUAAAGCGUCCGUAGCCGGCUUAGCAAGUCUCCUGUUAAAUUCAGCGACCUAAUCGUUGAGCCGCGGGAGAUACUAUUAGGCUAGGAGGCGGGAGAGGUCAACGGUACUUCUGGGGUAGGGGUGAAAUCCUAUAAUCCCGGGAGGACCACCAGUGGCGAAGGCUGUUGACUAGAACGCGCUCGACGGUGAGGGAUGAAAGCUGGGGGAGCGAACCGGAUUAGAUACCCGGGUAGUCCCAGCUGUAAACGAUGCAGGCUAGGUGUUUGGGCGGCCACGUGCCGCUCUAGUGCCGCAAGGAAGCUGUUAAGCCUGCCGCCUGGGGAGUACGGCCGCAAGGCUGAAACUUAAAGGAAUUGGCGGGGAACACCACAAGGGGUGAAGCUUGCGGUUU